GACGAACGCUGGCGGCGUGCUUAACACAUGCAAGUCGAACGGAAAGACCCUGCUUUUGUGGGGUGCUCGAGUGGCGAACGGGUGAGUAACACGUGAGUAACCUGCCCUUGUCUUUGGGAUAACUUCAGGAAACUGGGGCUAAUACCGGAUAGGAGCUCCUGCUGCAUGGUGGGGGUUGGAAAGUUUCGGCGGUUGGGGCUGGACUCGCGGCUUAUCCGCUUGUUGGUGGGGUAGUGGCUUACCAAGGGUUUGACGGGUAGCCGGCCUGAGAGGGUGACCGGCCACAUGGGGACUGAGGUACGGCCCAGACUCCUACGGGAGGCAGCGGUGGGGAAUAUUGCACAGUGGGCGGAAGCCUGAUGCAGCAACGCCGCGUGCGGGAUGACGGCCUUCGGGUUGUGAACCGCUUUCGCCUGUGACGAAGCGUGAGUGACGGUAAUGGGUAAAGAAGCACCGGCUAACUACGUG
This 468-nucleotide ribosomal RNA is filed under the name uncultured bacterium. RNAcentral describes it as "partial 16S ribosomal RNA". It matches the Rfam family "Bacterial small subunit ribosomal RNA", at positions 28 to 507 of the family's 1533-position model. The record is from RNAcentral.